Molecule: ribosomal RNA, 860 nt
Filed under: uncultured bacterium
Lineage: Bacteria
Description: bacterial SSU rRNA
Rfam family: Bacterial small subunit ribosomal RNA
Source: RNAcentral
AGAGUUUGAUCAUGGCUCAGAUUGAACGCUGGCGGCAUGCCUAACACAUGCAAGUCGAACGGUAACAGGACUAGCUUGCUAGUUGCUGACGAGUGGCGGACGGGUGAGUAAAGUAUAGGAACUUGCCUAAUAGUGGGGGACAACGUGUGGAAACGCACGCUAAUACCGCAUACGCUCUACGGAGGAAAGCGGGGGAUCUUCGGACCUCGUGCUAUUAGAUAGGCCUAUAUAGGAUUAGCUAGUUGGUAAGGUAAUGGCUUACCAAGGCGACGAUCCUUAGCUGGUUUGAGAGAAUGAUCAGCCACACUGGGACUGAGACACGGCCCAGACUCCUACGGGAGGCAGCAGUGGGGAAUAUUGCACAAUGGGCGAAAGCCUGAUGCAGCAAUGCCGCGUGUGUGAAGAAGGCCUUCGGGUUGUAAAGCACUUUCAGACGUGAGGAAAAGCUAAGUAUUAAUACUAUUUAGCCCUGACGUUAACGUCAGAAGAAGCACCGGCUAACUCCGUGCCAGCAGCCGCGGUAAUACGGAGGGUGCAAGCGUUAAUCGGAAUUACUGGGCGUAAAGCGCGCGUAGGCGGUUAUUUAAGUCAGAUGUGAGAUCCCUGGGCUCAACCUAGGAACUGCAUUUGAUACUGGAUAACUAGAGUAUGGUAGAGGUGAGUGGAAUUUCAGGUGUAGCGGUGAAAUGCGUAGAGAUCUGAAGGAACAUCAGUGGCGAGGCGACUCACUGGGCCAUUACUGACGCUGAGUGCGAAAGCGUGGGUAGCAAACAGGAUUAGAUACCCUGGUAUCCACGCCCUAAACGAUGUCACUAGGUGUAUGGAAGUUUAUCUUCUGUGUAUCCAAGCUAAGCGAUAAA